This 468-nucleotide ribosomal RNA is filed under the name uncultured bacterium. Its description in RNAcentral is "partial 16S ribosomal RNA". It matches the Rfam family "Bacterial small subunit ribosomal RNA", at positions 28 to 507 of the family's 1533-position model. The record is from RNAcentral.
GACGAACGCUGGCGGUGUGCUUAACACAUGCAAGUCGAACGGUAAGGCCCUUUCGGGGGUACACGAGUGGCGAACGGGUGAGUAACACGUGAGUAACCUGCCCUCAUCUCUGGGAUAACAGUCGGAAACGGUUGCUAAUACUGGAUAUGAGCUUGCAAGGCAUCUUGUGGGUUGGAAAGAUUUUUUUUGGUUGGGGAUGGACUCGCGGCCUAUCAGCUUGUUGGUGAGGUAGUGGCUCACCAAGGCUUCGACGGGUAGCCGGCCUGAGAGGGCGACCGGCCACAUGGGGACUGAGAUACGGCCCAAACUCCUACGGGAGGCAGCAGUGGGGAAUAUUGCACAAUGGACGGAAGUCUGAUGCAGCAACGCCGCGUGCGGGAUGACGGCCUUCGGGUUGUAAACCGCUUUCAAUUGUGACGAAGCGUUUUUGUGACGGUAGCAGUAGAAGAAGCACCGGCUAACUACGUG